GAUGAACGCUAGCGGCAGGCUUAACACAUGCAAGUCGAGGGGUAUAUGUCUUCGGAUAUAGAGACCGGCGCACGGGUGCGUAACGCGUAUGCAAUCUACCUUUUACAGAGGGAUAGCCCAGAGAAAUUUGGAUUAAUACCUCAUAGUAUAGUGACUCGGCAUCGAGAUACUAUUAAAGUCACAACGGUAAAAGAUGAGCAUGCGUCCCAUUAGCUAGUUGGUAAGGUAACGGCUUACCAAGGCUACGAUGGGUAGGGGUCCUGAGAGGGAGAUCCCCCACACUGGUACUGAGACACGGACCAGACUCCUACGGGAGGCAGCAGUGAGGAAUAUUGGACAAUGGGCGCAAGCCUGAUCCAGCCAUGCCGCGUGCAGGAUGACGGUCCUAUGGAUUGUAAACUGCUUUUGUACGAGAAGAAACACUCCUACGUGUAGGAGCUUGACGGUAUCGUAAGAAUAAGGAUCGGCUAACUCCGUGCCAGCAGCCGCGGUAAUACGGAGGAUCCAAGCGUUAUCCGGAAUCAUUGGGUUUAAAGGGUCCGUAGGCGGUUUAGUAAGUCAGUGGUGAAAGCCCAUCGCUCAACGGUGGAACGGCCAUUGAUACUGCUAAACUUGAAUUAUUAGGAAGUAACUAGAAUAUGUAGUGUAGCGGUGAAAUGCUUAGAGAUUACAUGGAAUACAAAUUGCGAAGGCAGGUUACUACUAAUGGAUUGACG
Molecule: ribosomal RNA, 716 nt
Filed under: Flavobacterium sp. IsoA1
Lineage: Bacteria; Pseudomonadati; Bacteroidota; Flavobacteriia; Flavobacteriales; Flavobacteriaceae
Description: bacterial SSU rRNA
Rfam family: Bacterial small subunit ribosomal RNA
Source: RNAcentral